This 600-nucleotide unclassified non-coding RNA is filed under the name Bradyrhizobium sp. STM 3064. RNAcentral describes it as "partial 16S-23S ribosomal RNA intergenic spacer". The stretch from base 45 to 117 matches the Rfam family "tRNA". The record is from RNAcentral. Lineage: Bacteria; Pseudomonadati; Pseudomonadota; Alphaproteobacteria; Hyphomicrobiales; Nitrobacteraceae.
GGCCCACCAUUUUGAUCGAGUGCGGAGCAUUCGUCUUCUGGUACGGGGCCAUAGCUCAGCUGGGAGAGCGCGUGCUUUGCAAGCAUGAGGUCGUCGGUUCGAUCCCGUCUGGCUCCACCAGAUGGAAUUGAAGCUCGAUAGCGCCUCGUUCAUUUCGUCCGCGAAACAUCACUUCGCACUCAUUGGUCCGGAUGGACGGUGACGUGCGUGUUUUCUGACAUCGUAAAGAGGAGAUCGAUCCGAGUUUGGAUCAAGCGAAGCAAUUCGCCUGAGCCAUUCAUUAUCUCCGGGAUCAUUUCGGCGCUCGCUUCAAUCGUGAGAUUGGAUGCGGGUUGUAAAUGAUCCCUUUUAGCGAAGCUUGACCGCCUCGCUAUCGGGCCGAUCUUACGAAGCAAGCUGGUCUUUCUAGUCAAUGUCCGGCUGCGCAAUCGCAUUCAUCGAGGAUGCGUGCCUGAGACUUCGGUCUUCGGGCAGUUGUGCAGACAACAUUCUGCCGAGUGUGUGGACAUUGAUAAUGAGAGCAAUCAAGUGCCUUAAGGGUGUUCGGUGGAUGCCUUGGCGCUGAGAGGCGAUGAAGGACGUGCUACGCUGCGAUAAGCC